GGGACGGCUGGCUACUACCAGUGUCGGUAACACUAGGGGGUUACAGCUGAGUCUUCACAACUCUGUGUGAGUGGCCUUCUCCAGUAUGCAGCAGGAGUUAGCAGUUCAUAAAGAUGUAAAAGCGUGACCGCUUGAGGCUGUAGCUAAUGGCUGCAACGCCAGCUACAGCUAAGGUCUUGCUGCCUGGCCCCUAAUGACUGUGACAUGCCAGGAGGUAUUCUCUGAUGUCACCACCAUUUCCCAGGGAUGAUGAAGGUGAUUAGGCUUGAAGUCCUGUGAGAACAGCUCAGACCCUGUUUUGGCCGCCUAGGAAGCAGAGGACAUUUAUCAAAGCUUUUCCCAGCAAGCGUCAUUUUAUUUGCGGCUGUCUAGCAACAUGGGUGGCAGUCAGCCGAGUCUCGCUAGCUCGGACGGAAGUCGAAACAACGAGGGUGCCGGUUGGUAACGGUCUGCAGAGAAGGCUUGGGAGGAAAAAUAUGACUCGAAGGAGCCACGCUGCACAAAAAUGGGCCGACAGAGCCCCGACAAUGAGACACAUGGCAAACCUGGGGAGGAGCCGUAGGACAAUAACUGGGGCUGGUGAAAUCUAUGGCCUGGCUGAACAGGAAGAACUCCCUACUAAUUGCAUUGCUGACGGCCCGAGCCACCACAUAGUUUGUUUGCUGACUGUCCUUCCUGGCCUAUAACAAAUUGCUCCAUCUGCUUUACUCUGUGCAUGCACGUGCUAAUUUUCCUUUGCGUACUUGCAAAAUAUACCCCAUCGAAGUUCAUUAUUGUAAAUGAAUAUGAGUGUUUCAAUAAGGCCCCUAUCAGUCCUCAUUUUACACCAAAUCUUCCCUACAGGUUUUUGGUUUUUUUUUUUUUCCCCCUC
Molecule: long non-coding RNA, 871 nt
Organism: Alligator sinensis (Chinese alligator)
Lineage: Eukaryota; Metazoa; Chordata; Crocodylia; Alligatoridae
Exons: 3
Source: RefSeq, a predicted model, not a curated record